UCUUGCUGUUAGUGACAGUGACAGUGAACAUUCAUCUCAAGCAUUAAGCAGAAGCACAGCAGUGAUUGAGACACAACUUCAAAAUGUUGAUGCUGGAGCAGUCAGUGAAGCACCAAGCAGCAGCACUGUAAUUCUUCAGACACCACCUCAAACGGUUGAACAGGUGAG
Long non-coding RNA from Acanthochromis polyacanthus (spiny chromis), 168 nucleotides. RefSeq lists it as uncharacterized. NCBI's taxonomy places the organism in Eukaryota, Metazoa, Chordata, Actinopteri, Pomacentridae. The record is from RefSeq and is a predicted model, not a curated record. The transcript is spliced from 3 exons.